This 67-nucleotide ribosomal RNA is filed under the name Vibrio parahaemolyticus. Its description in RNAcentral is "partial 16S ribosomal RNA". It matches the Rfam family "Bacterial small subunit ribosomal RNA", at positions 1 to 64 of the family's 1533-position model. Lineage: Bacteria; Pseudomonadati; Pseudomonadota; Gammaproteobacteria; Vibrionales; Vibrionaceae. The record is from RNAcentral. RNAcentral also lists the same sequence under 2 other names.
CUUAAAUUGAAGAGUUUGAUCAUGGCUCAGAUUGAACGCUGGCGGCAGGCCUAACACAUGCAAGUCG